Molecule: long non-coding RNA, 503 nt
Organism: Scatophagus argus
Lineage: Eukaryota; Metazoa; Chordata; Actinopteri; Scatophagidae
Exons: 4
Source: RefSeq, a predicted model, not a curated record
AUUGUAAGUCUGUUACUUUGCUCACUGACACGUUACGGAUGAUAGCUAGCAAGCUAGUCGCUGGCUAGCGGUGCUCAGGCUGAGGACGUGCAGGAGGGCGGGAGUCCGUCUGUCAACAGGCAGGAGCAUCACAUGAGCUGGAGGCGUGUGGCGUAAGAGGUCGUUUGAAGCCUUCUUGGACGUAUGCUUCAGACGCCGGAAGCGAAGCAGGUUGACACGCUGUGAGGAGGGUGCUGGAGCUGCUUCAGGCCAGAUGACUGACCUCCCGCCAUGACACUGGUGACGUACUGCAGGGGCCAUGCGAACCUGAGGAGGACUGUGAACACCUGUGGCUCCAGAUCGACACAGACUCCUCCCUCAAUGCCAGCAGCUGUGAUCAGCAGGAGGAGCAGCAAAGUGAGGAGGUGGAGGGUGGAGCAAAUAUCGGAGGAAGGAGAUGAAUCGGAUGACCUCUUUGAGAAAUGUUGUCUAUAGUUCUCAUUGACUUUAUUUAUUCCUGUAUG